RNAcentral lists this ribosomal RNA (459 nucleotides) under uncultured bacterium. RNAcentral describes it as "partial 16S ribosomal RNA". It matches the Rfam family "Bacterial small subunit ribosomal RNA", at positions 338 to 795 of the family's 1533-position model. The record is from RNAcentral.
CCUACGGGGGGCUGCAGUGAGGAAUAUUGGUCAAUGGCCGCAGGGCUGAACCAGCCAAGUCGCGUGAGGGAUGACGGUCCUAUGGAUUGUAAACCUCUUUUGUCAGGGAGCAAAGGGCGCCACGUGUGGCGCUUUGCGAGUACCUGAAGAAAAAGCAUCGGCUAACUCCGUGCCAGCAGCCGCGGUAAUACGGAGGAUGCGAGCGUUAUCCGGAUUUAUUGGGUUUAAAGGGUGCGCAGGCGGAAUGUCAAGUCAGCGGUAAAAUUUCGGGGCUCAACCCCGUCGUGCCGUUGAAACUGGCGUUCUUGAGUGAGCGUGAAGUAUGCGGAAUGCGUGGUGUAGCGGUGAAAUGCAUAGAUAUCACGCAGAACUCCGAUUGCGAAGGCAGCAUACCGGCGCUCAACUGACGCUCAUGCACGAAAGCGUGGGUAUCGAACAGGAUUAGAUACCCUGGUAGUC